Molecule: long non-coding RNA, 4338 nt
Organism: Oncorhynchus masou masou (cherry salmon)
Lineage: Eukaryota; Metazoa; Chordata; Actinopteri; Salmoniformes; Salmonidae
Exons: 2
Source: RefSeq, a predicted model, not a curated record
AGGACACUUUUCAGCUGUCUGUCGAUUAAAGCAAAUGCAUGAGGUCUCAGAGGAGGCACAGCAGGACAGCAUCUUUCUGGGAGAAGUAAAGGAAAACAAUGCGGGCUGGCAUUCAGACAUUAAACUCAAUGUGGAGGUUGUGUCAUUUAAACUAGACACUGGGGCAGCAGUGACAGCUAUCCCGACUAGGCUGUAUAGCUAUAUCUGGUGUUAGAGUUGCGUAAAUUCGAAUCUGGUAUCAGGAUAAAUAUAACAAUGAGUCACCGAUUUUAUACUAUGUAUUUUUUAUUAGCUAAGUAAUAAAUGGCAAAUGCAACUUUCGUAUAUACGGGCUCUCUGUAAUACCACGCAGGGCAGAACAGAGAACUGACAGGAUGUAUGUAAACAGUAUUCUUUAUACUGUGAUAGGCCAACAGACGUGUUGAAACUAUGUCUAUCACAGUAGAGACUGGGCGUGGUUUAAACUUGCCCAGCCUAUUGCAGGCGCUCAGGCGGGUCCCCGCCUCUUGGCGCUUCUUGGAGUUCUCUGUCCUCGAUGUAUAGAUCCUUCCUGUUCUGGUAUCGCAGCCUAGUUAGAACAGUUGCUCAGUUCCUGCUAUUGCUAUAGUGUUGUUCAGUAUUUUUCCAUCUCAGUUAAACCUCGUGAUGACCACCCCUCCCUAUCACAACUUUGUAAGAUACAGCAAGUCACACCAUGUGCUCAAUAUUGUUACAUACAAACACAAGGACAAAGCAUCUGCUGGGCUGUUAUCUACAGAUUUGCAACAUCCAGGUCACACCAUGUUACUCAGUUCUUGUCACACAAACAGGCAAGUAGCAAGCAAUAGUUUAAUCUCAUAAUGAUGCUCCAGUGCACAAAUGCAGACACCUCACACAACCAACAUCAGAUGAUAUUUAAUCAUAUAUAUAUACUAAAGGCUAUAAUGUAAAACACAGGAUCCAACACUGGCCUUUUGCUCUCUACAAACAAAUAACUGUACGGGCCCAGUAAUAAGAUUUUACCAGUGGUAGGGCACUUAGGUGAUUAAACUGGAGAGUAAAGACUAAAGUGCCAUCCAGCCUGUCUUCAUCAUUGACUCUCGAGCCAGACCGUUGAUGGGGCUGCCAGCAUUUGAAGCAUUGCAACUCAUUGAGAGUGUGAGCGAAUUAGAGGACCCAGGUGAGGUUUUUAAAAAGAAAUUCCCAAAAGUAUUUUCUGGUCUAGGAAGGAUAGAAGGUGACUACAAAAUCCGCCUGAAAGAGGAUGCUGUCCCCUACGCCCUUACCACCCCCCGCCGGGUGCCUAUCCCUUUAUUGGCCAGAGUAAAGGAAGAGUUGGGGAGGAUGGAAGAAAUUGGGGCAGUGUCUAAAAUAGAGAGUCCCACAGACUGGUGUGCAGGGAUGGUAGUGGUCCCAAAAGCCAAUGGGGAAAUAAGGAUCUGUGUGGACAUGACUAAAUUGAAUGAGGCACUCUGCAGAGAGACACAUCUUACCAUCAGUGGAGCAGUCACUUGCUCAGUUGGAUGGCUCACAAGUCUUCACAAAGCUGGAUGCCCGCUCAGGUUUCUGGCAGAUACCGCUGUCAUCAGAGAGUAGGACACUCACAACAUUUAUAACACCGUUUGGCCGUUACUGUUUUAAUGUUUUUCCAUUUGGAAUCGCUUCCGGCCCUGAGCAUUUCCAAAGACGCAUGUCCCAGCUGUUGGAUGGGUUGAGUGGCUUCAUAGUCCACGUGGAAGGGACAGAGCAGAACAUGAUGUAAGGCUCACAGCAGUUCUGAACCAACUCCAGGAGACUGGCCUGACACUCAAUGAAAAAUUAACUUUUGCACAAUCAGAGGUCUUGUUCUUGGGACACAAAAUCAGUGCAGCUGGAAUAGAGCCGGACCCAGAGAAGAUCAGCGCCAUCACAGAUAUGCCCAGACCCCAGAAUGUGGCUGAAGUCAGGACCUUCUUAGGCAUGGCCACAUAUGUGGGUAAGUUCCUCCCACAGUUCUCAGAUACAACCAAACCUCUGAGAGACUUACUAGCCAAAGAGAAUGACUGGUUAUGGGGUCACAUGCAACAGGUAGCGUUUGACAAAAUCAAAGGAGAUCUGGCCUCACAGAGAGUGCUGGCCCAGUACCGUCCCCACGCUAAGACAAAAGUAUCAGCAGAUGCAUCAUCCUUUGGGCUAGGGGCGGACCUCACACAGAUGCAGGACAACAUGGAGUGGCGUCCAAUAGCUUACAUCUCCCGAAGCUUAUCCGACACAGAGCAAAGAUAUGGUCAAGUGGAGAAGGAGGCGUUGGCUAUCACAUGGGCUUGUGAAAGGCUCAGCCAAUACCUUAUUGGCCUGCAGUUUACAGCAGAGACUGACCAUAAACCGCUGUUGGCUCUGUUAGGGACAAAAGCACUGGACGACUUGCCUCCCAGAGUUCUGCGCUUCCGCCUCAGAUUACUGAGAUUACAAAAUUGUGUAUGUGCCAGGGAAGGCACUGAUCACAGCAGUUGAACUCUCCAGGGCCCCAAUUAAACAUCCAUUAUCAGAGGAGGAGCAAUGGCUAGAGGGUGAGGUACAGGUGUCCAUUAAUGCAAUAAGGGACAGUCUACCUGCAUCUCAGACCAAACUGCAGCAGAUUGCAGAGGAGCAACAACGAGACCAUAUCUGCCAACAGAUAGUGCAAAAAGGGAUAGCCCAGGCAGGAGGAACUGCCUCAGCUGCUGAAGCCCUAUUGGGUUCACCAAAGUGACUUCCACUGUAAUGGAGACCUUCUCAUGAAAGGACAACGGAUAGUUAUCCCAGAGACUCUACAACAAGAAAUGCUAGACGGAGUGCAUGAUGGACACAUGGAGAUAACCAAAUGCAGACUGUGGGCUCAACAGUCUGUGUGGUGGCUUGGUCUGAGUACUCAGAUUGCCAAGCUAGUGGCCCAGUGUGAGGUCUGUACAAAAUGUCAACCUUGUCAUCCGGAGCCAAUGAUGUCAACGGAGCUGCCAAAACGGCCAUGGCAAAAGGCAAGGGGUCGCUGAGGUCCUGGUUACAGAUAACGCUCCCCAGUUCUCUGCGAGCUCCUUUUCUGCUUUUGCCGCAGAAUAUGACUUCAUACAUGUGACCAGCAGCCCCUACCAUGCACAGAGUAAUGGUGAGGCAGAGAGAGCUGUGAAAACAGUCAAGGGACUGCUGAAAAAGAACAAGGAUCCAUACAGGGCUCUGUUAGCUUACAGAGUUACACCACUGCAUCAUGGGCCGUUGCCUGCUGAUCUCCUGAUGGGCAGGAGAUUGCCUGUCUCGCCGGCUCAGCUUAAACACAGAGGGCCUAACAGGAAGGCCUUCGCUGAGAGGGACAAACGGCUGAAACAAACGCAAACUGGAGACUUUAAUCGGAGACACCGUGCUAAGGAGAGGCCAGAGUUGACCGAAGGUCAACGCGUGUGGAUUACAAACUCAAAGACACCAGCAAUAGUGCUGAGGAAAGCGGAUGCCCCACGCUCCUAUGUGGUGGACACAGGCUCAGGAGAGGUAUGAAGGAACAAAACACACCUCAGAGCUCUUCCAGAUCUACCAGCCACACAGACGGAGGCCACAGAAAAUGCACGAAAAGAGGGUGAAGGAGAGAGAAUGAGGAGAGAGAAUUUCAGUUAUGCUUCAGUGGUUAUGCAUGUUGAGUUCUUGUUCAUGGGAGAGGGGAAGAUGUAGUAGGAUGACCCUUGGGGGUAUCCGUACCUAUGCAGGACAUGCGAGGGUUAGGUUAAUAAACAGGCUGGAGCUAGAACCUGGUUGUCGCGCGUCCUUAUUUUAGAUCAUACUACAGCUCUAUUGUGAAUGUAGUAUAGGCUACCCAUAUUCAGUCUGGCUGAUACGCGAUCCACAUGACUACACAGCAAGCAUAGACAGGCCUACAUGAGUAAUGCCUCAAUCACAGCGACAGUGCUUUGCCAUUUGGUACACUAGAAGUAUGUUUAUUUCUAAUGGAAUGCUGUGUUUGCCUUGCAACGUUGUAUUGGAGAGGCGGUUUCAGUGCGUUCUGUGUGAUGCAUUGUGACGACCCUCCCACUCUGUCUGCCAUAUUCUGUCUUUGUUCUUGAUGCCGGUGGGGGGAGUUGGGGGGUUCGUCAGCUACAUGGGAAACACCUGGGCCCGGUGUGUCCCAGGAUAAAUACACCACUUCCCCAUUCAUGGAAGAAACUCUCUCCUUUAUAGAUUUUGUUGUGUUUCUUGGUGUUUUUUUGGUUGUUUGCUUUAGCAUCUUUCAACACCCUGCAUUAUCACAUUCAUGCCUGCAAAACACUCACUUACACUACUGAUUACUGAUUACACACACCAUUGUAUAUUAUACUUAGUUACUCAUUUAAUAAAUAUAUAUUUUGUUACUCCUUA